AUUGAACGCUGGCGGCAGGCUUAACACAUGCAAGUCGAGCGGUAACAGAGAGAAGCUUGCUUCUCUGCUGACGAGCGGCGGACGGGUGAGUAAUGCCUAGGAAUCUGCCUAGUAGUGGGGGAUAACUUGCCGAAAGGUAAGCUAAUACCGCAUACGUCCUACGGGAGAAAGGAGGGGACCUUCGGGCCUUUCGCUAUUAGAUGAGCCUAGGUCGGAUUAGUUAGUUGGUGAGGUAAUGGCUCACCAAGACCGCGAUCCGUAACUGGUCUGAGAGGAAGAUCAGUAACACUGGAACUGAGACACGGUCCAGACUCCUACGGGAGGCAGCAGUGGGGAAUAUUGGACAAUGGGGGGAACCCUGAUCCAGCCAUGCCGCGUGUGUGAAGAAGGUCUUAGGAUUGUAAAGCACUUUAAGUUGGGAGGAAGAGCAGUUAACUAAUAUUUGACUGUUUUGACGUUACCGACAGAAUAAGCACCGGCUAACUUCGUGCCAGCAGCCGCCGUAA
This 506-nucleotide ribosomal RNA is filed under the name uncultured bacterium. Its description in RNAcentral is "partial 16S ribosomal RNA". It matches the Rfam family "Bacterial small subunit ribosomal RNA", at positions 30 to 523 of the family's 1533-position model. The record is from RNAcentral.